This 21-nucleotide non-coding RNA is filed under the name Caenorhabditis elegans. Lineage: Eukaryota; Metazoa; Nematoda; Chromadorea; Rhabditida; Rhabditidae. The record is from RNAcentral.
UAGUGGAAAAUUUAUAGAAUU